Molecule: ribosomal RNA, 305 nt
Filed under: uncultured bacterium
Lineage: Bacteria
Description: partial 16S ribosomal RNA
Rfam family: Bacterial small subunit ribosomal RNA
Source: RNAcentral
ACAGCAGUAGCCGCGGUAAUACGUAGGUGGCAAGCGUUGUCCGGAAUUAUUGGGCGUAAAGGGCUCGCAGGCGGUUUCUUAAGUCUGAUGUGAAAGCCCCCGGCUCAACCGGGGAGGGUCAUUGGAAACUGGGAAACUUGAGUGCAGAAGAGGAGAGUGGAAUUCCACGUGUAGCGGUGUAAUGCGUAGAGAUGUGGAGGAACACCAGUGGCGAAGGCGACUCUCUGGUCUGUAACUGACGCUGAGGAGCGAAAGCGUGGGGAGCGAACAGGAUUAGAUACCCCAGUAGUCCCUGUCUCUUAUAC